CAUUACGGCGCAAGGUUUGGUGGCCCUAUACACCCCCAACAAAGUUAGACGUGGCAGGGAAAGGUGUCUUCUUAACUAACUACAAAUACUCUUCACUCAGCACGAAAAAAGAACAAAAUGGAGCUUCAUGUCGUAUAAAAAGAAGUAGAAAUAGAACUUCUUGCCAUUUUUACCUUCAAAAAUUGAUUGAUUAACCUCUUGACGUGUAACUCAGGAACUCUGCGUAAUUUUGUGUUAAGAUGAGUAAGAGUAGCAGUGUGAGUGUGACAUUAGGGGAGACUCUCGGUCAACCUAAAAAGAAUGUUGUGGAGCUCUUUGGGUUCCCAGUGUCCAGGCUCCCGCCUACACCACAGUUUAUUUUCCUCUCAACGGCUGUCUUUAUUUUCUACAUUGCCUACGGCUACAUGCUUGAACUGAUAUUUACGUUGGAAGGCAUGCAGCCUCACGGCUGGUAUCUGACGUUGGUGCAGUUUGCUUUUUAUACAAUAUUUGCGCUCCUUCAGAUAAUUUUAUCUGGCAGUGCUCUUACUAGAAAAAUACCUUUGAAAACCUAUGUAAUAAUUGCUAUACUAACCGUUGGCACAAUGGGAUUUUCGAAUUCAUCUGUUGGGUAUCUUAACUACCCUACUCAGGUUAUAUUCAAGUCUUGCAAGUUGAUACCAGUCAUGAUUGGGUCAAUACUCAUUCUUGGAAAACGAUACUCAAUUUUGGAGGUCGUAGCGUGUCUGUGUAUGAGUUCAGGCUUAAUCUGGUUCACACUCGCAGAUUCCACAUUACAACCUGAUUUCUCUUUUACUGGGGUGAUGUUAGUAAGUCUAGCAUUGAUAUGUGAUGCUAUCAUUGGAAAUGUUCAAGAAGGAGCCAUCAGAAAGUACAGUGAAAGUACAGCACAUGUUGUUCUCUACUCGUAUAGCAUUGGCUUCUUCUUGAUUUUGAUUGGUCUUUUAUUAAUUGACCAGUUGGUACCUGCUGUCUCCUUUGCCUCUCAGUUUCCUUGGGAGGUGUAUGGGCGUGCAGUGGUACUCUCUGCUGCCGGGUUCUGUGGGGUGCAAGUAGUACUAACCUUGGUAACACUACACGGUGCCCUGGUGGCAGUCACUGUUACCACCUUCCGCAAGGCCCUCACUAUAUGCUUGUCCUUCCUCCUCUUCAGGAAGCCUUUCACUGUGCAAUAUGUAUGGGGUGGGCUGCUAGUUGUAGCUGGGAUAUAUCUAAAUAUUUAUGGAAAGAAGAGCAAGAGUUCUACUCCUUUCCUUGUGUCCAUUCAGCAGAUGUACAUGCAGAUCCAACAACAACUUGCUCCAAAGAUUAGCCAAAUCCACAAAGGUGAAGAUGAUGGUUUUAGAGUGAUAGCUGAUACUCAAACAACGCAAAUGAAAGACAAGCGAGCAUUCUUAGUACUCGUAGAUGUCCACGCCUCGAUAAUGACUGGGCGGUAGUUGAUACACUUCCAGUUGUUCGCAAAAAUUGUUUUUGGAGUUAGAGGGUAAUGCUAUUGGAGUGUGAGCAAGGUGACUUCUGUGCAGCUUGGGUGGGUACAAGUGAGCAUUGACCCUGCCCUCAGCAGCCCAGGUGUGUUGCAGGCACUCUGACUCUCCCUGCUUGGUGCCAUGCUUCUUAAUGUAUUGGUAAUUUGAGUUCUGGUGAUGUUCUGUAUUCAGGUCUGUGGGAAAACAUGAUUUACAGGGAAGACAUGUUAAUUCCAUGGCAAAAUAUCUAGUCCUAUUUCCUCAUUGUUGACAUUCCCAAAUGUAGUCAGAAUUAUUAUAAUAAUUUUAUGUAUU
Molecule: RNA transcript, 1784 nt
Organism: Cherax quadricarinatus
Lineage: Eukaryota; Metazoa; Arthropoda; Malacostraca; Decapoda; Parastacidae
Gene: Papst2
Gene name: PAPS transporter 2
Source: RefSeq, a predicted model, not a curated record